GCGGGUGUGGCGAAAUUGGCAGACGCACUAGACUUAGGAUCUAGCACUUCGGUGUGCAGGUUCGACUCCUGUCACCCGCACCA
This 83-nucleotide transfer RNA is filed under the name Acholeplasmataceae bacterium. Its description in RNAcentral is "tRNA-Leu". It matches the Rfam family "tRNA". From Rfam's summary of the family: Transfer RNA (tRNA) molecules are approximately 80 nucleotides in length. Their secondary structure includes four short double-helical elements and three loops (D, anti-codon, and T loops). RNAcentral also lists the same sequence under 1 other name. Lineage: Bacteria; Bacillati; Mycoplasmatota; Mollicutes; Acholeplasmatales; Acholeplasmataceae. The record is from RNAcentral.